RNAcentral lists this non-coding RNA (173 nucleotides) under Dethiosulfatibacter aminovorans. The record is from RNAcentral. RNAcentral also lists the same sequence under 1 other name. Lineage: Bacteria; Bacillati; Bacillota; Tissierellia.
AAAAUUAACAAGUUUUACGGUACCAUAUUGGUAAAUAGGGAAAGAGGUGUGAAUCCUCUACAGCCCCCGCUGCUGUGAAUAGGUUAUGCUUUUCAGAACCACUGUUCCUCGGAACGGGAAGGGAAAAGAUGAGAGCCUUAAGUCAGAAGACCUGCCUUGAAACGAAAGAUUAA